CCAACGGCCCUCUUUAGGGCCACCAAAACCAUAAACCAUAUGUCU
Molecule: non-coding RNA, 45 nt
Organism: Anisakis simplex (herring worm)
Lineage: Eukaryota; Metazoa; Nematoda; Chromadorea; Rhabditida; Anisakidae
Source: Rfam